This is a long non-coding RNA of Episyrphus balteatus (marmalade hoverfly), 588 nucleotides long. RefSeq lists it as uncharacterized. The transcript has 2 exons. NCBI's taxonomy places the organism in Eukaryota, Metazoa, Arthropoda, Insecta, Diptera, Syrphidae. The record is from RefSeq and is a predicted model, not a curated record.
UUUAUUCAUCUUCAUCGACGUGAAUUUUAUCAUCAACAAAAAGCAGUUUGAAUUAAUCUGUCUACAUGAUGAAAAGUUUUUUCGUAUUUGGCCUCUUGGCGUUCUAUCAAGCUAAGAUUGUAUCAUCCCAGUUAAAUAUACCAACAUUAAUUGACAUUGGUCAGAAUGCUUUGAACCCCAACCCCAGUGAAACAACUAAAAAUGAUGUUUUGAAAUUUGGCACCAGUAUUAUAAAUACUUUAACGGAAAAAGUUAAUACUUUGCCUCCAAAUAUGAGACAAGAUGGACUGAAUUUAUUAGCCGAUGCUAAAGAAGGAGUGCAGUCUUGUGAGAGUGCCUUCAUGAGGAAUGGUAUUGCUUCAGAGUAUACUGUGUGUUGCAGUACAUAUUUGAAAAAUGGAAUGAUUGCUUUUGGGAAUCUUGCUGCAGAAGGCUAUCGGUCAGGAGCUGAAACACCAUUUAUUUAUUUGUUGAAUUUAUUAAUUUGUAGUUUUUUGUUGAUUUGGAAUUGAAAAAUUUAGAAAUGUAUUAUUCAUUUAGUCUCAAAACAGUUUUUGUAUCAAAUAAAUUUGAUUUUUUUUAUAUAAA